RNAcentral lists this ribosomal RNA (505 nucleotides) under uncultured bacterium. Its description in RNAcentral is "partial 16S ribosomal RNA". The stretch from base 16 to 373 matches the Rfam family "Bacterial small subunit ribosomal RNA", at positions 43 to 396 of the family's 1533-position model. The record is from RNAcentral.
GACGAACGCUGGCGGCGCGCCUAACACAUGCAAGUCGAACGAGCGAGAGAGAGCUUGCUUUCUUGAGCGAGUGGCGAACGGGUGAGUAACGCGUGAGGAACCUGCCUCAAAGAGGGGGACAACAGUUGGAAACGACUGCUAAUACCGCAUAAGCCCACGACCCGGCAUCGGGUUGAGGGAAAAGGAGCAAUCCGCUUUGAGAUGGCCUCGCGUCCGAUUAGCUAGUUGGUGAGGUAACGGCCCACCAAGGCGACGAUCGGUAGCCGGACUGAGAGGUUGAAGGGGUCUAUUGAGCAGGAGGAGCGGACAGGAUGGCGGGCGGAGGAAGGAGGGAGGAGUACGGUAAGAGGGGAGAAGGCCUGAGGCGGGGACGGGGGGGGGAGGAAGAAGGGAGUGGGGUUGUAACUUCGUGUGGUGGGGGAAGAAAAAGGGGUAACCAAAGAAGUCGGUGGCGGCUAACUACGUGAGAGGCACCAGGUUAAUCGCGGGGGGCCGGUGGCAGAAC